GAUGAACGCUAGCGGCAGGCCUAACACAUGCAAGUCGAGGGGUAACUAGAGUGAUAGCAAUAUUACUUUGGCUAGACCGGCGCACGGGUGCGUAACACGUAUGCAACCUACCUUAUACUGGGGAAUAACUUCGAGAAAUCGGCGCUAAUACCCCAUAACACUGCGGAGAGGCAUCUCUUUGCAGUUAAAGCUCCGGCGGUAUAAGAUGGGCAUGCGCCCAAUUAGCUAGUUGGUGGGGUAACGGCUCACCAAGGCUACGAUUGGUAGGGGUUCUGAGAGGAUGAUCCCCCACACUGGUACGGAGACACGGACCAGACUCCUACGGGAGGCAGCAGUGAGGAAUAUUGCGCAAUGGACGAAAGUCUGACGCAGCCAUGCCGCGUGCAGGAUGACGGCCCUAUGGGUUGUAAACUGCUUUUGUACGGGAAUAAACCCUUCUACGUGUAGGAGGCUGAAGGUACCGUAAGAAUAAGCACCGGCUAACUCCGUGCCAGCCGCCGCCGUAA
Molecule: ribosomal RNA, 506 nt
Filed under: uncultured bacterium
Lineage: Bacteria
Description: partial 16S ribosomal RNA
Rfam family: Bacterial small subunit ribosomal RNA
Source: RNAcentral